RNAcentral lists this non-coding RNA (221 nucleotides) under Andreesenia angusta. RNAcentral's name for it is "Eubacterium angustum T-box sequence". It matches the Rfam family "T-box leader". Rfam says of the family: Uncharged tRNA acts as the effector for transcription antitermination of genes in the T-box leader family. T-boxes are found upstream of many aminoacyl-tRNA synthetase genes and some amino acid biosynthetic genes usually in Gram-positive bacteria. Lineage: Bacteria; Bacillati; Bacillota; Tissierellia; Tissierellales; Gottschalkiaceae. The record is from RNAcentral.
ACAAAAGUUACGAUGGAGAUAAGUACAAGGAGAUGGACCAGAUCAGAGAAAGUGCAACUAGGCUGGAAUUGCGCUUAAAGACUUCUUGGAAAUUUCACUCCUGAACUGCCGGGCUGAAAAGGGAGUAGGCCUGUGCCGGCAAAGCCGUUAAACGAAGAGAGACUUACUUAAGAUAUAUCAAGAGUAAUUAGGGUGGUACCGCGGAAGACUUCGUCCCUUUU